Molecule: ribosomal RNA, 492 nt
Filed under: uncultured bacterium
Lineage: Bacteria
Description: partial 16S ribosomal RNA
Rfam family: Bacterial small subunit ribosomal RNA
Source: RNAcentral
AGUGAACGCUGGCGGUAGGCCUAACACAUGCAAGUCGAACGGCAGCACAGUAAGAGCUUGCUCUUACGGGUGGCGAGUGGCGGACGGGUGAGGAAUACAUCGGAAUCUACUUUUUCGUGGGGGAUAACGUAGGGAAACUUACGCUAAUACCGCAUACGACCUACGGGUGAAAGCAGGGGAUCUUCGGACCUUGCGCGAUUGAAUGAGCCGAUGUCGGAUUAGCUAGUUGGCGGGGUAAAGGCCCACCAAGGCGACGAUCCGUAGCUGGUCUGAGAGGAUGAUCGGCCACACUGGAACUGAGACGCGGUCCAGACUCCUACGGGAGGAAGCAGUGGGGAAUAUUGGACAAUGGGCGCAAGCCUGAUCCAGCCAUACCGCGUGGGUGAAGAAGGCCUUCGGGUUGUAAAGCCCUUUUGUUGGGAAAGAAAAGCAGCAGGUUAAUACCCCGCUGUUCUGACGGUACCCAAAGAAUAAGCACCGGCUAACUUCGUG